RNAcentral lists this ribosomal RNA (484 nucleotides) under uncultured bacterium. Its description in RNAcentral is "partial 16S ribosomal RNA". It matches the Rfam family "Bacterial small subunit ribosomal RNA", at positions 30 to 507 of the family's 1533-position model. The record is from RNAcentral.
AUUGAACGCUGGCGGCAGGCCUAACACAUGCAAGUCGAGCGGAUGAAGGGAGCUUGCUCCUGGAUUCAGCGGCGGACGGGUGAGUAAUGCCUAGGAAUCUGCCUGGUAGUGGGGGAUAACGUCCGGAAACGGGCGCUAAUACCGCAUACGUCCUGAGGGAGAAAGUGGGGGAUCUUCGGACCUCACGCUAUCAGAUGAGCCUAGGUCGGAUUAGCUAGUUGGUGGGGUAAAGGCCUACCAAGGCGACGAUCCGUAACUGGUCUGAGAGGAUGAGCAGGCACACUGGAACUGAGACACGGUCCAGACUCCUACGGGAGGCCGCAGUGGGGAAUAUUGGACAGUGGGCGAAAGCCUGAUCCAGCCAUGCCGCGUGUGUGAAGAAGGUCUUCGGAUUGUAAAGCACUUUAAGUUGGGAGGAAGGGCAGUAAGUUAAUACCUUGCUGUUUUGACGUUACCAACAGAAUAAGCACCGGCUAACUUCGUG